AAAAAGUAUUGAAAUAUCGCAGGCCACCAAAAUAUAUUAACCCCACCAUUCAUCAUACUACAUCAUGCACGAUUGAACGUGUACGCCUGAACGUAGCUGUCGAUGAUCUUUCCAACACUGCAGUACGUCAUCAAAAUAUUGUUCCAUUUACAAAUUGCUCAAUUAAGCCAUUAGACCAUGAUAUUUCGAAUAACUUUCCUCGUGCCGUGCUCCUGAUGGAGAGAAAAGAUUCAACAAAACCAACAUCUAUGAAAAUCCCUCAAAACACUUCAGUCGACGCAGCAGCAAAAAAAGCCCAUAGGCUCACCUUAAAGACGCUAUAUCUGAAAUACACAGAAUUUUAAAAGCAGAAUGGGAGAGAGAACUGCUCGCUUUUCCCCGCAAACUCAUUAAAACCAUAGUUCCGAAAAAAACUAAACUGAGAGCCAUUGUAUCGAUAGCGUCUCGCAUAUUAUUUUUCAUUGUAGAAAGUACAACACAACAAGGCACAACUUCGCAUCUCUAAGACAGUAUAAUGAUAUUUGCAAAUUUUUUGAUAAUCGUCGAAGAAAUUUAUGUAAAACUAUAGAAGUACUUUAACAUCUACUAUUUCACGUUCACAAAGCCGGGCGGCCAAAUAAUCCCACGGUAAUCUAGGGUAGCAUAGUAACUUAAACACCAUUUACAGACAAUGAUAGAGGAGCCAAGGGACGGCCCAAAACAUUUGGGUUUAAUGGACGGCCCGAAUCAGGCAGAAAGCAAAUACUGACAUAACACGCUGAGCCAGGAACAGGGAUGGAGCCGGGUCAGCGAGGAAGUAGGAAGCUCUGCACAGCCAGCCGCACAGAUGGAAUCGGAGCAACUGCAGCCAGCUGGCAAAGCUGCUACUACUGCACAAGCUAUACGACCAGCGAUUCUAUUCCGAUACCAAAUUCGUAAUUAUUGACCCCGAAAGCCCACGAGUGACGAGUUUCAAGGAAAUCUGAUUAUUUUUUCAAAUGAGUUCCCACCAUUCGACAAUAUAGGUUUUUUCAGGUUAGAAAAAAAACCUGACGUGAUGAAGCAAAUCUGACCUUGGAUUCGUGUGGAGGGCCAUAAAAUACAUAGGGAUGGGAUACUCUGGUCAGCGGCGCACGACACUUUUUUUGUGGGGCUGUGUUGUAUUAUCCAACAUUGCCAUAGAGAUUGAACCUUGAGCAUGUCUUUAAUACUUCAAUCUAAGGCUUUCAAGAAUUUUCUCUAUUUAACCGAUACAUUGUAAGAUAAAAACAAUUUUCGAGCAAA
Long non-coding RNA from Drosophila miranda, 1263 nucleotides. RefSeq lists it as uncharacterized. Lineage: Eukaryota; Metazoa; Arthropoda; Insecta; Diptera; Drosophilidae. The transcript is spliced from 2 exons. The record is from RefSeq and is a predicted model, not a curated record.